UGGGGAAUAUUGCACAAUGGGCGAAAGCCUGAUGCAGCAACGCCGCGUGAGUGAUGAAGGCCUUCGGGUUGUAAAGCUCUGUCUUUUGGGACGAUAAUGACGGUACCAAAGGAGGAAGCCACGGCUAACUACGUGCCAGCAGCCGCGGUAAUACGUAGGUGGCAAGCGUUGUCCGGAUUUACUGGGCGUAAAGGAUGCGUAGGCGGAUUUUUAAGUGAGAUGUGAAAUACCCGGGCUUAACUUGGGUGCUGCAUUUCAAACUGGGAAUCUAGAGUGCGGGAGAGGAGAAUGGAAUUCCUAGUGUAGCGGUGAAAGUGCGUAGAGAUUAGGAAGAACACCAGUGGCGAAGGCGAUUCUCUGGACCGUAACUGACGCUGAGGCAUGAAAGCGUGGGUAGCAAACAGGAUUAGAUACCCUGGUAGUCCACGCCGUAAACGAUGAGUACUAGGUGUAGGAGGUAUCGACCCCUUCUGUGCCGCAGUUAACACAAUCAAGUACUCCGCCUGGGAAGUACGAUCGCAAGAUUAAAACUUAAAUGAAUUGACGGGGUCAUAGCUGUUUUCCU
RNAcentral lists this ribosomal RNA (565 nucleotides) under uncultured bacterium. RNAcentral describes it as "partial 16S ribosomal RNA". It matches the Rfam family "Bacterial small subunit ribosomal RNA", at positions 355 to 1375 of the family's 1533-position model. The record is from RNAcentral.